UACGUAGGGGGCAAGCGUUGUCCGGAAUCAUUGGGCGUAAAGAGCGUGUAGGCGGCCAGAUAAGUCCGCUGUGAAAACUCGAGGCUCAACUUCGAGCUGUCGGCGGAAACCAUCUGGCUAGAGUCCGGAAGAGGAGAAUGGAAUUCCCGGUGUAGCGGUGAAAUGCGCAGAUAUCGGGAAGAACACCCGUGGCGAAGGCGGUUCUCUGGGACGGUACUGACGCUGAGACGCGAAAGCGUGGGGAGCGAACAGG
This 253-nucleotide ribosomal RNA is filed under the name uncultured bacterium. RNAcentral's name for it is "partial 16S ribosomal RNA". It matches the Rfam family "Bacterial small subunit ribosomal RNA", at positions 524 to 776 of the family's 1533-position model. The record is from RNAcentral.